RNAcentral lists this ribosomal RNA (253 nucleotides) under uncultured bacterium. RNAcentral's name for it is "partial 16S ribosomal RNA". It matches the Rfam family "Bacterial small subunit ribosomal RNA", at positions 524 to 776 of the family's 1533-position model. The record is from RNAcentral.
UACGUAGGGUGCAAGCGUUAAUCGGAAUUACUGGGCGUAAAGCGUGCGCAGGCGGUUUUGUAAGUCUGAUGUGAAAUCCCCGGGCUCAACCUGGGAAUUGCAUUGGAGACUGCAAGGCUAGAAUCUGGCAGAGGGGGGUAGAAUUCCACGUGUAGCAGUGAAAUGCGUAGAGAUGUGGAGGAACACCGAUGGCGAAGGCAGCCCCCUGGAUCAAGAUUGACGCUCAUGCACGAAAGCGUGGGGAGCAAACAGG